AUUGAACGCUGGCGGCAUGCCUUACACAUGCAAGUCGAACGGCAGCGGACCUUCGGGUGCCGGCGAGUGGCGAACGGGUGAGUAAUAUAUCGGAACGUACCUCUCAGUGGGGGAUAACGUAGCGAAAGUUACGCUAAUACCGCAUAUUCUGUGAGCAGGAAAGCAGGGGAUCGCAAGACCUUGCGCUGAUUGAGCGGCCGAUAUCAGAUUAGCUAGUUGGUGAGGUAAAGGCUCACCAAGGCGACGAUCUGUAGCGGGUCUGAGAGGAUGAUCCGCCACACUGGAACUGAGACACGGUCCAGACUCCUACGGGAGGCAGCAGUGGGGAAUUUUGGACAAUGGGGGCAACCCUGAUCCAGCCAUUCCGCGUGAGUGAAGAAGGCCUCGGUUGUAAGACUCUUUCUAGCAGGAACGAAACGGUAGGU
RNAcentral lists this ribosomal RNA (425 nucleotides) under uncultured bacterium. Its description in RNAcentral is "bacterial SSU rRNA". It matches the Rfam family "Bacterial small subunit ribosomal RNA", at positions 30 to 459 of the family's 1533-position model. The record is from RNAcentral.